CGUGUAGGCGGCCUGGUAAGUCAGAUGUGAAAGCCCUCGGCUUAACCGGGGAAGUGCAUCUGAAACUGCCUGGCUUGAGUACGGGAGAGGGAGGCGGAAUUCCCAGUGUAGAGGUGAAAUUCGUAGAUAUUGGGAGGAACACCGGUGGCGAAAGCGGCCUCCUGGACCGAUACUGACGCUGAGACGCGAAAGCGUGGGGAGCAAACA
This 207-nucleotide ribosomal RNA is filed under the name uncultured bacterium. RNAcentral's name for it is "partial 16S ribosomal RNA". It matches the Rfam family "Bacterial small subunit ribosomal RNA", at positions 568 to 774 of the family's 1533-position model. The record is from RNAcentral.